AUUGAACGCUGGCGGCAUGCUUUACACAUGCAAGUCGAACGGUAACAGGCCUUCGGGUGCUGACGAGUGGCGAACGGGUGAGUAAUGCAUCGGAACGUACCCAGAGGUGGGGGAUAACGCAGCGAAAGCUGUGCUAAUACCGCAUGUGAUCUGAGGAUGAAAGCGGGGACCGAGCAGCAAUGUUUGGCCUCGCGCCUUUGGAGCGGCCGAUGUCGGAUUAGCUAGUUGGUGGGGUAAAGGCCUACCAAGGCGACGAUCCGUAGCUGGUCUGAGAGGACGACCGGCCACACUGGGGCUGGGACACGGCCCAGACUCCUACGGGAGGCAGCAGUGGGGAAUUUUGGACAAUGGGCGGAAGCCUGAUCCAGCAAUGCCGCGUGCGGGAAGAAGGCCUUCGGGUUGUAAACCGCUUUUGGCAGGAACGAAACGGUGUCCGCUAAUACCGGGCGCUAAUGACGGUACCUGCAGAAUAAGCACCGGCUAACUACGUG
RNAcentral lists this ribosomal RNA (491 nucleotides) under uncultured bacterium. RNAcentral's name for it is "partial 16S ribosomal RNA". It matches the Rfam family "Bacterial small subunit ribosomal RNA", at positions 29 to 507 of the family's 1533-position model. The record is from RNAcentral.